Stegostoma tigrinum is the source of this 2485-nucleotide long non-coding RNA. RefSeq lists it as uncharacterized. Lineage: Eukaryota; Metazoa; Chordata; Chondrichthyes; Orectolobiformes; Stegostomatidae. The record is from RefSeq and is a predicted model, not a curated record. The transcript is spliced from 3 exons.
CUUUUGCCUCCUCUGAAUGGCUAACCACAGCGGUGUUGGCGGGUUCUAUGGUAAUUACGAUCUCAAGAACAAGGCGGCGGCGGGGGCGAAGCGCCAUCGUCCCAUUAGAUCAUCGCUCGACUAACUGAGAUGAACAACGAUUCAAAGACAUUUUUUUCUUCUGGGGAGGACGGCGGGAAAUAAUUUUAUCCAUCCAGUUGCCGUGAGCAAACGGGCGGAUCUAAUUGGUUGAGAAACCCUAUAGACGGCGGAAGUAGCGCAAUCCUUUUGCUGAUAUGUGACUGACGCUGCCAAUCAAACAGUUCCCAGGAGUGACAAUCACCAAUGAUCUGUCCUUGAUGUGAUGGUCAAGAAGAUACAACAACGCCUCUUCUUCCUCAGGGGCGUUAGGAGAUGCGACAUGCCCAUAAGGACCCUCACCAACUGUUAGAUAGAUGCACCAUAGAAAGCAUUCUAACUGGAUGUGUUAUGGCUUGAUACAGCAACUGCUGCCUAGGACCAUGAAAGUUAUGAACACUAUUGUGCAAGUUAACCAUUCAUCCAUUGGCUCCAUCUACACUAUUUGAUGCCAUGGAAAGGCAGCCAACAUCAUCAAAGACCUCUCCCACGCCGAGUAUAAUCUCUUCAACCCAUUCAGUCGGGCAGAAGAUACAAAAGCUUCAGAUUCAAGAACAGCUUCUUCCCCACUGUUAUGAGGCUGCUGAAUGCACCUCUCAAAUUUCAAAGAUAGCGCCCUCCAUACCAGUCAACAUCCUGGUGAACCUCCUCUGCACCCUCUCCAAAGCAUGUACUCGUUUGAGUACAUGUAACAAAAAAGCUUAUUCAACUCCAUUCAUGCUUUGAGAGCCUGACAGACUGGACAUUGUUUGAAGAUGUUCAUCCUAAAGACAACAGCGCUCACUCUCUGUUACGCUGGGAAUGUCAACCUGCUCCGAAUGCUCAAGUCUCUGCAAGAGGACUUAAAUCUAGGUCCUAUUGACUUGGAGAUAACAACGCUACCACUGAACCAGGACUGAUACCUCAAAACAGUCACUUGUGUAAGAUUAGAACUUUAGAGAAAUGAGAGGAGAAGACAGGGGAGCAACAGAAGAGACAAAGAUAGUCAAACACUGGAGAACCGCAGCAGGUCUGGCAACGUCUGUGGAGAGGGAAACUGAGUGCAUGUUUCGAGUCUGCAGUGACACUUUUUUUGUAAUGUGUCAGAAGAAUUACAAAUGGAAGUGGGAAGAGACUGAACAAAGGGGGAUAAAGGUAGAGAUAAGAUAGGAAGAUAUAGCUUGGUGCUAGAAGAUCACAGAUUACGUAUAACCGAGCACAUUUCAGACAGAAAAUAACUCAAGCUCUCUGGAAAGAAUAUGAAAAAACAAGUAUGAUGCCAAGCCAUUUGGGACAGGAACUGAAAGCUGUGUUGUGAAAGAUGGAACCUGUGCUACGUUUAAAAGGAAAGGAGUGAGUGAAGGGUUCAAGGAAAAGGUUCUGAAAAGUAAGACUGUGACAAUAUUGAACAGAAGGGAGGGGUAGGACACACAAAAAGGCAAGAGCAGCAAGAUGGCUCAGAGAUUAAGCACUGCUGCCUCACAGGUGCCAGGAACCCAGGUUCGAUUCCACCCUCCAGUAAUUGUCUGCGUGGGUUUCCUCCGUGUGCUAUGGUUUCUGCCCACAGUUUAAAGAUGUCCAAGUUAGGUGAAUUCACAGUGGGAUUAUGACGCUGGAUCCUGGUGGGAUGCUCUCUGGAAUUCCAUGAAUGAGCACAAGGACUCUUGGUGUCUGGUCAAACAUGUUGUUGUUUUCUAACCAACUUUUCAAAAAUGUUAUAACUCACCUCUGGAGCAGGUGGGAUUUGAACCAAGGGAUGGUAUCACCACGCCACAACAUUCCAAACAAUCAGAAGCAAAUGAGUAUUAAUUAUUUUAAGCACACGAAUAGGGAGUAUGCUGGAUGUGGAAUGGAUGGUAAGACUGAGCAAGUCAAUAAACUGCCUCCAAAAUAAACAUGUGUCUUGGUUUCUAUCUCACAAACCAGCAUUGGGACCUUUAAGAGGCACGUGGGAGAGAGGUUACCAGGUUAGAGAACGUAGCAGCGAUAGAACAGGUAGACCGUAAGACUUCUGAAGACAAGGUUUCGGGUUUUAAAUUCAUUACAUUGGAAAGCAUCUUACAACAACAAUUUUCAUUUAAAAAGCAUUUCUUAAUAUAAUAAAGCAACUCAGAGUGUUGCAUAGGGUCAUGAUCGAAUAAAUUUAGAAACCAAUGAGAUGAGGACAGAAAAGCUAUGUUUUUGAUAGCCUCUUAAAGGACCAGAAAUGUCUAGGGGAGGGAGAGAGAGAGAAUUCUAGAGUCUGGGCAGCUGAAUGAUGGAAUGAUUAAAGCCAAAAGACGCUAAAAUAGAAGGAAUGCAGAGAUCUCAGAGGGUUAUUAUCUGGACAGAAACAUUACUGCCCUCCAUGUAGAGCAAGAAUAUUCUUCCUUAGAUAAAAGGAGAGCAG